Molecule: small nuclear RNA, 215 nt
Filed under: Otolemur garnettii (small-eared galago)
Lineage: Eukaryota; Metazoa; Chordata; Mammalia; Primates; Galagidae
Description: U2 spliceosomal RNA
Rfam family: U2 spliceosomal RNA
About the family: U2 is a small nuclear RNA (snRNA) component of the spliceosome (involved in pre-mRNA splicing). Complementary binding between U2 snRNA (in an area lying towards the 5' end but 3' to hairpin I) and the branchpoint sequence (BPS) of the intron results the bulging out of an unpaired adenosine, on the BPS, which initiates a nucleophilic attack at the intronic 5' splice site, thus starting the first of two transesterification reactions that mediate splicing.
Source: Rfam by way of RNAcentral
AUCGCUUCUCGGCCUUUUGGCUAAGAUCAAGUGCAGUCUCAGGCUGAGGACAAAGAUAUGACCUAUGCUCCCACUAGUGUGCAUUUAGACAUGGCUCAGUCUGGGCUGCCUGGAGUAAUUUUUUUUUUUUUUUUUUUUUUUUGAGACAGAGUCUCACUAUGUCACCCUAGGUGCAGUGCUGUGGUGUCACAGCUCAUAGCAACCUCAAACUUUUG